RNAcentral lists this transfer RNA (68 nucleotides) under Serrognathus platymelus. Its description in RNAcentral is "tRNA-Val". It matches the Rfam family "tRNA". From Rfam's summary of the family: Transfer RNA (tRNA) molecules are approximately 80 nucleotides in length. Lineage: Eukaryota; Metazoa; Arthropoda; Insecta; Coleoptera; Lucanidae. RNAcentral also lists the same sequence under 1 other name. The record is from RNAcentral.
CAAUCUAAAGCUUAAGAAAGCAUUUUAUUUACAUUAAAAGGAUGACUGUUAAAUUCAGUUUAGUUUGA